This is a long non-coding RNA of Ctenopharyngodon idella (grass carp), 1169 nucleotides long. RefSeq lists it as uncharacterized. The record is from RefSeq and is a predicted model, not a curated record. The transcript is spliced from 4 exons. NCBI's taxonomy places the organism in Eukaryota, Metazoa, Chordata, Actinopteri, Cypriniformes, Xenocyprididae.
UAGUAGUAGUAGAAGAAGAAGACGACAAAUACAACAAUAACAACAACAUCAUCAUGGUGAUGAGGUGUAUUUUAGGUUGUUCCCCUCCCCAAACCCUCUUCCCUAUCCCCAAAAUACCCUGGCUGCGUGCCCGCUGGCUCGAAUUUUUACACUUUGACGAAGGAGGGAUAACGGAAAACACGCGUUUGUGUGCGCGGCACUUUACGCAGGAAAGCUUCAAGAAUUUUAGACAGCAUGAAAUGGGGUUCGUCAAGCUUCUGCUCUUGUCAAACACGGCUAUCCCGUCUGUGUACACAGUCGGAGCGUCACCGAGUGUGAAGCCACCUACACGGGAUGUGGGUUGCCAGUGUUCCCCUAAAUCUUUAAAGAGCACCGCAGUGCAGGCGGCGCGCUCAAUCCCAAAGCCCAAACGACGGAGUAAAGGCAAAGUUAUAUUCAACUAAUUGGGUUGUGGGAGUUUUCUAUGUCUGUUCCACUGGUUUGAGGUUUAUUUGUGUUGAAAUUUCAGCGGUCCAGGUGAAACCUCCGUCCCUCUCUAUUGGUAUGUCCUGCUCUAUGGAGCAUCUUGGCACCGUCCUCGAUGUAACGUCUUCUCCAACGAGCAAAAGGCCGCGCAUUAAAGAAGAAGAGAUCGAUGAAACCUGGUCGAGCAGCACCGAGGAAUCCGCAGUAUCCGAUUUCACUUACGAGUCUGAUGUCAGUCAACAGGACAGUGAAACAUCACUCUUUGCUGCUCACUACUAUGAUGGAAGCGCAGAUUGGGAAUAUGUCAGUUGAAGAUUGCCAGAGUUCAAAAGGGUGAAUCCUUUUCAUCAGAAAAAUGGCAUAUACAACUAUGUGGACACCCUGCUGAAAACUCAUUUUGACGAUGUUCUCGGCACGGCCUGUACCAGCAUUAUAUGAAUGAACUGAAGGUCUUCCUUCAACAGGCCCGACCCUCCAGAAGCUGCAGCCGGACACUGGAGCUGCUUCUCAAAGCCUGACUUCACUGUUUCAGAUGAACAUUCAGUGUGAGAGGAAAAAAGUGUGUGUUCAUAGUGAGAAUGUACAGCAUGUGAAAAAAUGUUUCUUGAAAACAGUAAAGUUCUGCUCAAAUAUUUGUUUAAGGGAAUGUCUUGGCAAGAACUGAAUAUGUGUUCUGCAAAAUAAAAGUGCAGUUGUACAAAUUA